CAGGCAUUGACUUCCGUUCCUAGGCAGACGCAGGAGUUUGAGCAUCUGAAUAUCUCCAAUACAUUGACCUCUAUGAGAUCAUCAAAUGGCACUGAAGUAUUAUAGCAGAAGAACAAGAAAGCUUGUAUCAUAUAGAAGGCAUUAUGUUGGAAAUGAGCAAAUGCAUUUCAUAGAAUCACAGAAUCAGAAUAUCCUGAAUUGGAAGGCACAUACAAGGAGUCCACCAUAUCUAAGUGUUGGUACAAACAGCAGCACCACACAAUCCCAAACCCUGUGUGUGAGAGCAGUGCCCAAACACUCCCUGAGCUCUGGCAGAUUGGGCUGUGCCCACCGCCCUCUGGGCACAGCCUUUCCCUGACACGCUGACCC
Gallus gallus (chicken) is the source of this 369-nucleotide long non-coding RNA. Lineage: Eukaryota; Metazoa; Chordata; Aves; Galliformes; Phasianidae. The record is from Ensembl.